AACGCGAAGAACCUUACCAAGGCUUGACAUGAACCGGAAAAACCUGGAAACGGGUCCCCCACUUGUGGCCGGUUUACAGGUGGGGCAUGGGUGUCGUCAGCUCUGGUGGCGAGAUGUUGGGUUAAGUCCCGCAACGAGCGCGACCCUCGUUCCAUGUUGCCAGCGCGUUAUGGCGGGGACUCAUGGGAGACUGCCGGGGUCAACUCGGAGGAAGGUGGGGACGACGUCAAAUCAUCAUGCCCCUUAUGUCUUGGGGUUCACGCAUGCUACAAUGGCCGGUACAAAGGGUUGCGAUACUGUGAGGUGGAGCUAAUCCUAAAAAGCCGGUCUCAGUUCGGAUUGGGGUCUGCAACUCGACCCCAUGAAGUCGGAGUCGCUAGUAAUCGCAGAUCAGCAACGCUGCGUGGAAUACGUUCCCGGGCCUUGUACACACCG
Molecule: ribosomal RNA, 435 nt
Filed under: uncultured bacterium
Lineage: Bacteria
Description: bacterial SSU rRNA
Rfam family: Bacterial small subunit ribosomal RNA
Source: RNAcentral